GGGCUGGGGCUCAGCGGUAGAGCACUUGCCUAGCAUGUUUGAGGUCCUAGGUUCAAUCCUAAGUGAUUGUCCU
RNAcentral lists this transfer RNA (73 nucleotides) under Marmota monax (woodchuck). RNAcentral's name for it is "tRNA.Ala". The record is from RNAcentral. Lineage: Eukaryota; Metazoa; Chordata; Mammalia; Rodentia; Sciuridae.